GCUGUAUCACAACCGGACGUGAUUGUGAGUCCCAUAGGGCGGCGCACAAUUGGCCCAGCGUCAGGGUUUACAAAAGGUGGGCCUACCACGUGGAUGGACAUUCAUAAAAUGCCAUUGAUGACAACAUAGUACGCUACACCCCAGUAAGCAUGGAACGACGCCGACAUCUUUUGGAGUCUUUUUUUGGUCCUGUCUGGAUUGGCCGUUUUUGGUGUUUUAUAAACACAGCAGGACGGUCAGGACCAGUACUGGCAGGAAGUGUAUUGCGUGUCAUGGGUUUGCUAAAUACAAUGCCCAAGACUUAAAGUAGUCUGAAGGCUUGUGUAUCAAUCCUUCCACUGCUGACCCAGAUGAGAUGCUCAUCACGUAAAGGACUGGCUUCGCCUAGAAUCAUGCAUACCUUUUCUGUGAGUACUCAGACAUCAGAUUCUUUACUUACCUCAUGAGGACCCCUGAGAUUGCAAUAUCUGGAAACACUGUCUCAUGUAGAAUUGGUUAUGUUCUUUCUUUGAAAUGUAUUUAAAAAACAAUAUUGACUUGAUUGUUUCAUUAAGGACGGUGCAUCACAAGCUGGAACUAGUGGGCAAAAUUGGGAGAAUGUUGCCCAAAACAACGGGCCGAUAUAUAUAUUUAUUUUUUAUUAUUUAACCUUUUAUUUAACUAGGCAAGUCAGUUAAGAACAAAUUCUUAUUUACAAUGACGGCCUACCCCGGCCAAACCGGGCCAACGCUGGGCCGCCCUAUGGGGCUCCCAAUCACAACCGGAUGUAAUAAAACCUGGAUGGAGGGUUAGACCAUCCCCCAUAUGCCAUUAACAAUUACGGGAAUCUCUAUAUGGCCAAUGGAAAUGGUGUCCCCCUGUGAAUGACCAACAAUGGAGCAACGUUUGACUUCAGCUUUACUGUUCAACAUUCAUGGUGUGCUGAAUGUUUUAUUACUGAACAACCAUAAGUAUUUGUCCUCUAAUCUGUCACACGUUCCUCAACAGUAAGCAAGACAUGCCAGCAGAGCUCACUGGAGCAGGAAGACAUCCCGUCCUCCUCUCGGCGCCUGACAAGUUAAGGCUUUCUAAAUAACACGUGUGACAUCUCCACAAAGGUGCAUUCCUAAUAAGAUUGGUGUUAAGUGAGAAAGAAUCCUAAAGAUGGUCAAAUGGGCAUGAAGCCUCUCUGUUCAUCUCAGUCUGUUGAACCACCUGAUUUCCUGUAGGGCAGAGAUGCAGGUCCUGCUGAACAAUGCAAAGCAGUCGAUGAAACACAUGCAGGGUCAGCUGAAUGACCUGCAUGGAAAGUUUAUUUAGUUGCAGACUGCUAUCUCUCAGAUCGUGUCAGAUGAGUCUAAUAUACUGUAGGAUAACUCUAUGUAAUGAUGUUAUGGUGAGGAUGAUGAUUGAAAUGUUUGGGAUGGAUCGGUGUCAAUUACAAUAUAGAUUGCAAGUGGUGGAUUUUUCUUGAAUGACUGUAUGUGCUCUAUACUUCAUCCCAGAAGCCAACAUUGCUGCACAGAGGGAGGGGAUCUUCCCAACAAGCAGCGUUUCUGAACAGAGAUGUCCGGAGUAGACAUGUUGCGCGUCCUGCUAUGAUGUCCAUCACCAAGCCAGAACACUCCGAGGCCAACCCUCAAAGCCAGACUGGCAGCCGGGCCAGUGACUGAGCCUGAGACCCCUGCUGCAAAGAACACACCAAACAAUGGUGGCUGGCUCAGCUGGUUCUCUAUAUAUAGACACUAGUGGAUUAGUGUUUUUCUCUGUGGCUUGAUUCAUAGUGUUAUUAUUUUCAUCCUCAGAUUAUCUGGGAUUCAACCCUGGACAGAUGGGUUGACAAAAUUGAUCCCAAUGCUGAGAACAAGCCAGUACCACCACCUCCCCCAAUGGGAAUGAAUGGACAUCUGGGGAACUCUGGCAGUCUCCCCAAAGGAGAGCAGGCAAUUUUCCCAGAGUGGAGUUCCUUAUAAGGGGAUUUUUCAGCAUUUUCAAAGAAUAAGAAAAAGAUAUAGCAAAGAAAAAUAUUAUUUGGCAAUUGCCAAAUUAGUUCUUAGUUAUUAAAAGACUCAAGCAUU
Molecule: long non-coding RNA, 2057 nt
Organism: Oncorhynchus gorbuscha (pink salmon)
Lineage: Eukaryota; Metazoa; Chordata; Actinopteri; Salmoniformes; Salmonidae
Exons: 7
Source: RefSeq, a predicted model, not a curated record